RNAcentral lists this ribosomal RNA (301 nucleotides) under uncultured bacterium. RNAcentral's name for it is "partial 16S ribosomal RNA". It matches the Rfam family "Bacterial small subunit ribosomal RNA", at positions 509 to 808 of the family's 1533-position model. The record is from RNAcentral.
CAGUCGCGCGGUAAUACGAAGGGGGCUAGCGUUGCUCGGAAUGACUGGGCGUAAAGGGCGCGUAGGCGGCGAUCAAAGUCAGGCGUGAAAUUCCUGGGCUCAACCUGGGGGCUGCGCUUGAUACUUGGUUGCUUGAGUGGGGAAGAGGGUCGUGGAAUUCCCAGUGUAGAGGUGAAGUUCGUAGAUAUUGGGAAGAACACCGGUGGCGAAGGCGGCUCACUGGACCGACACUGACGCUGAGGCGCGAAAGCGUGGGGAGCAAACAGGAUUAGAUACCCCAGUAGUCCCUGUCUCUUAUACC